Molecule: RNA transcript, 11555 nt
Organism: Acipenser ruthenus (sterlet)
Lineage: Eukaryota; Metazoa; Chordata; Actinopteri; Acipenseriformes; Acipenseridae
Exons: 7
Source: RefSeq, a predicted model, not a curated record
AACCAAGGACAGUAAAACGAAGACUAGGACAACAAAGCCCAUGAUUCAAUGCGCGUAUGACUACAAUACAGGCGCCAUUAUUGGAGCCCACUCAAGAAGUGGAGGGUAAAGGUAAUACAAAGCAUUGAGAAAUGGUGUGUUGUGCAGCGCCAAAGUGCUCUAAAAGGGGUGAUAGACGGCAGAAGAAACGGACUUUUCGUUUCCCAAAGGAUAGAAACAGAUGUAAGGAAUGGGUCUUAUCAAUCAACAGAGUAGGACCGGACGGAGUGACGCUCUGGACUCCUACUCCGGGUUCCAGGCUAUGUGAGGACCAUUUUUCAAGUGCCCAGUUUGACAGCUAUGGUUUCCUCAAGCGUAACGCUGUACCAGAUAAGGUUCUUGGCGCUCCUGUAAGACCAAGCAGACGUACCAAAACUAGGCAACAGGCAGCAGUACAAGUAACCUCAACCACAACAAUGUACAGCAUAACUGAUCAUUCCUACUGCAAGCUGAUUGGAGGUGACCAUCCUCUGGAACAUGAAGUUUCCACCCACGUGGAUUCUGAUGCAUCAAAAGACGACACUGAGCAUUCCUGUCCUGAAAUGAAUGCACAUGAUCCAUCUGUGGAAGGUGGGUCCUCUGUCCAUGUUCAUUCAAAUUCACCAAAAGACACUACUGAUCUUUCUGCAUGUGAAACUCCUGUGCAUCAUGCUUGUGUGGAAGAUCCAUCCUCUUUCCACGACAAUGUUGAUCCACCAGAGGAUAUAUCAGAAGUAACAGUGCGAACCUUUGACAAUGUCAAAGACAGGCCAUCACAAGACAAAGAUCUAUUGAUUGAGAGUCUCAAACUGGAGGUGGAGAGAAAGGAACGGAUGCUGGCCCAAAUCUUCCGUCCAGAUCAAAUAGAGUGGCUUGAGAGCAGACUCACACCUGGCUCAGGACAUGAUCUUUACAAGUGGUCUUCAGAGACACUUAGUAACAGUUUGAAGAUCAGAAUUGCUUGUGGACUGAACGGAUAUGAAUACCUAAGAAAGGGCGUGUGUGGGGAGUGUUGUCAGGGAUCAAAGGUCAUUGAUCAGUUGCGGGACCAAUGACCUUAGUCAUGUGACCAAGGAACUCAUUGGUUGUUGAUGACAAUUUGAGAACUCAAGUAUCCAAUCCCAAGUUACCGCACGAUAACCCGACAUUUUGGCGCCGUUAAAUUUGCCCCAGGCAUUUAAUAUGACAUUGCACCUCCCAGAAAUUGCUCGCCUUGCAAUUUUGAAGCAAUCCCCCACAACAGCUCAGGAGAACUGAAGGUCAGUGGGCGUCCUCCGAUACCAAGACCAAGUAAAUUGCUUCUUUGCACCCGGGAACUCGAGAGCGGAUGUCGACGAGCUACCGGCCUCUGGAGGCCAAAUGCCAGCCCUGCAUGUGUCCGUCAGAGAUCACUGAGUGCCUGGCCGAUAGGGUUUGCCGUAGAGCAAUGAGGAGAGAGUCCCUGCUAGAUUUGCUGGUGCACCAGAACCAAUGCGAUGCUCCCUCUGGAAUCCCCCUCAAAGACCAUGACUUGGCACAGACAGGAACCUGUGCACUCAUGACUGUAUAACACCCUACACACCACGCAGCCAUGCUUUUACCAGGUAAGCCACUCGGCCCCCUAUGUAAAUAUUUAAUGAUGUGAGUUCCCUCUUCUGUAAAAUGAAAGCGGUUUGAGAAAAAAGACUUGCAUCCUGAAUCUGCAGAGAGGGUUUGAAUCGGAAGAAAAAAGAGAACCAAAAAACCACUGGAAACAGGAAAUGAGGAUUUCUAUUGUUGUUGACACCUGUUGAAGAUUCUAACCCCGCUUCCCCCUAUAGUUCUUAUAUUUUAUUUAAAUAAAGUGUAAUAUAAAAAAGAGACUUGGUUUUAGUUCUUCAUCCAAGUACAGUUUUUAAUCAUUAGAGGUUACUGUGUAUUUUUGUUAAACAGUCAUCAACUACCUUUCAACUAAUAAGAGACCUGCAAAUAAUUUAGAGUUGUAAAUGACUUAUUUGUAAAUGCAGACUCUGGGUAUACUCUGUCUGGAACUGCACUAAACUGGUUUAAAUGUUAUUAUCCUUGGGAGAUUCAGCAUCAGGAUUAUCUAUAAUUCCUGUAGCAUUCCCCAGGGUUCCAUUCUUGGUCCCAUAUUAUUUUCUUUAUGCAUGCUACCGCUGGGGGAGAUAUUUUGCAAACACAGUGUACAUUUUCACAGCUGUGCUGAUGACACACAGCUUUAUAUUUCUGUGAAACCUACGGAUACCUAUGCAGUCUCUGAAUUAAUUGAGUGUCUGAAUGAUGUAAAAAUCUGGUUGUCUCAAAAUUUCUUGACGUUAAACUUGGAUAAGACAGAAGUUUUGAUUUUGGCGUCUCGGCAACAGCUAGAAUGUGCCAAUUCUCGAAUUUAAAUUCAAACCCAAAAUCAAAGGCCAGAAAUGUGGGAUUCACGUUUGAUUCUGAUUUAUGUAUUGAGGCUCAUAUUCGACAUAUUGCUAAGAUUAUGUCUUGUCUUUCAUUGCCGGAUUCUGAGAAGUUAAUUCAUGCUUUUGUCUCAUCUAGACUUGAUUUACUGCAAUGCUCAUUUUGCCAAAGAUUAAGACAAAAAGGAAAGGAGAAACAGCUUUCAGUUACAAUGCUCCCAGAUUAUGGAAUAAACUACCAUCUUGACAUUAGAGAUGCAGAGUCACUUCAUAUUUUUUAAAUAGCAUUUUAUAUAAAAUGUUACAUUAUUAUUUUUUUUUAUUUCUCUAAUAUUGAUGUGUUUUUUUGGUGUUUUGAUUUAUUUUAUUGUAUUUUUUUUGUUUGUAAAUUUAAGGGUGUAUAAUUUGUGGGAUAAAUGUGAAACAAGCCUAGUUCCACAAACCUGUCAAAUGUAGUUUUUCACACAUCUGCAAAUGUAACUUGUGAUCGUAUUUUGAUACGUAUCAAUAUGAGGAAAUGUUCGGUUUGCGAGUACUUCUGUCUAGAAUAAAACAAAUCAUUACAGUAAAGUCGCUAAGAAAUGUUAGGUUCAUAUCAUAAUCCUGCUUCCCUGAAAUAGAAAUGUAACCAUUACCACAUGGGUAUUUACUGCCUAAGGAACCAGAAACCUGAAUAUUGAUAUACCAAAGCUGCUGAAUGAUCCUGUGACACAGUCAUGCCCCGCCCCUGAGGGUACCUAAGGACUGCGCUCACAUACCUCAGCGUCAUUCUUCCUUCAAGCCUGCUGCAAUCAUGGACGCAGCGACCUUGAUGAUAAUAACCUAGCGUUCUCUUUCAAGUACGAAAUGUAACCAUUAUCGUGUGGGUGAGUGUACCAAAGCCAUCACAAGAGCAAGAUUGCAAAAUGACUGGAAUGCUACAAGGCUAAGCUGAGAGGCUGUCUUGUGUGUUACCAUACUGAAACCCAGUAACAAGUAGCUAGGGUGAAAAACUUGAGGGAGAAACUCACCUCUCAACUCCUGUAUUGUAAGGGUCCACUGGGAAACCGCCAUUAACAGUUAAGCUCCAAAACCAGGGUUUUGAGGAUACACGACAUUCAGCCUGUAGAACCUGGUAAAGUUAUGGAGAGUAGCCCACACCGCCACAUUUGCAUAUGUCCUUGACAGAUGCACCCUGGAAUAAAGCCCUCAAAGUUGCCAUGACCCUGGUGGCAGUGAGCUUUACUGGAGGGGGCAAGUUGGCCUACUCAUAGGCAGUCCUGACUGUGUGUGCUAUCCACUUGGACAGCCACUGCUUAGACAGGGCUUGACCAUGGGUCUUCGCCCCAUAGCAGACAAAAAAUUGUUCAGACUGCCUCCAACUUUUAGUCCUGUCAACGUAGUACGCCUGGGCCCACACUGGGCAGAGCAUAUGGAGCUGCUGCUCUCUGUCAGACAGGAAAGGAGGCAGAUGGAAAGCCUCCAAUUCCACAGACUGGUUGACGUGGAAUGCCGAGAUUGUCUUCGGCAAAAAGGCAGGAUUGGUACGAAGUGUAACCUUUGCCCUGGCCUCUCUAAAAAUUAAGCAGGCUUUCGCUAUCGAGAAUGCCUGCAUCUUACUCACCCGCUUUGUGGAGGUGAUAGUGAGCAAGAACCCGAGGGUACAGUGGGUUGAUCUAUCUCUGCUCUCCUGAACCUCUCCCAAAUGAGGCUCACCACCUCGGGGUGAAGCCUCCACUCUGAGCCACUGGGAACUCUCCUUGAGACAAGGUCCACCUCCCAGUUUGUCACCCCAGGCAGAUGUACUGGAGGUUCUUGUGUGCCCAGAGCAAAAGCUUGUGGGCCACGUGAUGGAGACACGGUUAUGGUUAUCUGUAUGGACAAGCACAUGUCUCCCUCGAACCGCUUGGAAAAAAUUCUGCAAGGCCAGGUAAACCGCCUGCAGCUCUAACAUUCCACGCAGUGCUCCAGCCCAGACUGCGGUACACGUAGGUGUAGAUGAGCCGGCUGUUUCCACCAAGAAUGCCUUUAGACAGUGAUGAGACACUGUCAAUAGGUGGCCACGGUUCAAUAUGUGCUGCAAAACCCUGCUGUUGAACCAUGCCUGCAGAGGGCACAUGUGCAGGAGACCCAAUGGAAGGGUCUGGGAAGCUGCUGCCAUCAGGGCCAGAAGUUUCUGGAACGUUACUACCUUUAGCACUCUGCUGUGCUGAAAGAGCUCUAAGCAGGCGACUAUUCUCUGCAGUCUGCCGUUUGACAGAGUGGACAACAUGGCCCUAGAGUCCAAGCACACUUCUAGAUAGGAGGCUGUCUAGGAAGGCAUGAGCUGGCUCUUCGCAUGACUCACAGUAAGGCCUAACUAUUGAAGGCGGCUGGUGACAACUUCCGUGUGGGCCUCUGCCAGUCAGUCAUCCAGAUAAUUGAGCACUCUGAUGCCUUUGAGUGUCAGUGUGGCUCCAGGAUAGCUUCCAUGCACUUCAAGAAGGCACGUGGAGCUAGGGAGAGGCCAAAUGGCAAGACACAGAACUGGUACGCUGUUCCCUGAAAGGCGAACCACAGGUACUUCCUGUGCGCUGGUCUUAUGGGGAUGUGGAAAUAGCUGUCUUUUGAGGUCCACCAUGGUUAAUCAGUCGCCUGGCCUGAUUGACUGCAACAGCUGUUGUAUCAUCAACAUUUUGAACACCUUCGGCUCAGAUACAGGUUGACCUGUAUGAGGUUGAGGCUACCAUCCCACUUUGGCACUAGGAAGUACCUGGAGUAAAAACACUCCUCCCACUAUCAUGUGAAUAGCCAGUUUUUGCAGCAGAGCUGCUCCCUCCUGAGACACCACAGUGGCAUCCUGUGGGUCCGUGAUUGAUGUUGUAGUGGAAGGGAGGGGGAGCAUGCUUGAACUACAGCUGAAUAACCGCUCUGAAUAAUAAGCAUUCAGAUGUCCGUGGUGCAUUGAACAUAAGAAGAACAUAAGAAAGUUUACAAACGAGAGGAGGCCAUUCAGCCCAUCUUGCUUGUUUGGUUGUUAUUAUUAUUAUUAUUUAUUUCUUAGCAGACGCCCUUAUCCAGGACGACUUACAAUUGUUACAAGAUAUCACAUUAUUUUUUACAUACAAUUACCCAUUUAUACAGUUGGGUUUUUACUGGAGCAAUCUAGGUAAAGUACCUUGCUCAAGGGUACAGCAGCAGUGUCCCCCAGCUGGGAUUGAACCCACAACCCUCCGGUCAAGAGUCCAGAGCCCUAACCACUACUCCACACUGCUGCCCUUGUUAGUAGCUUAUUGAUCCCAGAAUCUCAUCAAGCAGCUUCUUGGAGGAUCCCAGGGUUCCAGACCCUCACAAUUCUCUGUGUAAAAAAGUGCCUCCUAUUUUCUCUUCUGAAUGCCCCUUUAUCUAAUCUCCAUUUGUGACCCCUGGUCCUUGUUUCUUUUUUCAGGUCAAAAAAGUCCCCUGGGUCGACAUUGUCUAUACCUUUUAGGAUUUUGAAUGUUUGAAUCAGAUCGCCGCGUAGUCUUCUUUGUUCAAGACUGAAUAGAUUCAAUUCUUUUAGGCUGUCUGCAUAUGACAUGCCUUUUAAACCCGGGAUAAUUCUGGUUGCUCUUCUUUGCACUCUUUCUGGAGCAGCAAUAUCCUUUUUGUAACGAGGUGACCAGAACUGAAAACAAUAUUCUAGGUGAGGUCUUACUAAUGCAUUGUAAAGUUUUAACAUUACUUCCCUUUAAAUUCAACACUUCUCACAAUAUAUCCUAGCAACUUGUUGGCCUUUUUUAUAGCUUCCCCACAUUGUCUAGAUGAAGACAUUUCUGAGUCAACAUAAACUCCUAGGUCUUUUUCAUAGUUCCCUUCUUCAAUUUCAGUAUCUCCCAUAUGAUAUUUAUAAUGCACAUUUUUAUUGCCUGCAUGCAAUACUUUACACUUUUCUCUAUUAAAUAUCAUUUGCCAUGUGUCUGCCCAGUUCUGAAUGCUGUCUAGAUCAUUUUGAAUGACCUUUGCUGCUGCAACAGUGUCUGCCACUCCUCCUAUUUUUGUGUCGUCUGCAAAUUUAACAAGUUUGCUUACUAUACCAGAAUCUAAAUCAUUAAUGUAGAUUAGGAAUAGCAGAGGACCUAAUACUGAUCCCUGUGGUACACCACUGGUUACCUAGCUCCAUUUUGAGGUUUCUUCUCUAAUCAGUACUUUCUGUUUUCUACAUGUUAAGAACAUAAGAAUAUAAGAAAGUUUACAAAUGAGAGGAGGCCAUUCAGCCCAUCUUACUCGUUUUGGUUGUUAGUAGCUUAUUGAUCCCAGAAUCUCAUCAAGCAGCUUCUUGAAGGAUCCCAGGGUGUCAGCUUCAACAACAUUACUGGGGAGUUGGUUCCAGACCCUCACAAUUCUCUGUGUAAAAAAAGUGCCUCCUAUUUUCUGUUCUGAAUGCCCCUUUAUCUAAUCUCCAUUUGUGACCCCUGUUCCUUGUUUCUUUUUUCAGGUCAAAAAUGUCCCCUGGGUCGACAUUGUCUAUACCUUUUAGAAUUUUGAAACCACUCCCUAAUCCAUGUGCAUGCAUUUCCUUGAAUCCCUACUGCGUUCAGUUUGAGAAUUAAUCUUUUAUGCUGGACUUUGUCAAAAGCUUUCUGGAAAUCUAAAUAAACCAUGUUGUAUGCUUUGAAAUUAUCCAUUGUCAAUGUUGCAUCCUCAAAAAAGUCAAGCAGGUUAGUUAGACACGAUCUCCCUUUCCUAAAACCAUGCUGACUGUCUCCCAGGAUAUUGUUACCAUAUAGGUAAUUUUCCAUUUUAUUAUAGUUUCCAUAAGUUUACAUAUAAUAGAAGUCAGGCUUAUUGGUCUGUAGUUACCUGGUUCGGUUUUGUCUCCCUUUUUGUGGAUCGGUAUUACGUUUGCUAUUUUCCAGUCUGUCGGUACAACCCCUGUGUCAAGAGACUGUUGCAUGAUCUUGGUUAGCUUGUAACCAAGUUUGUAAAUAACUUCUUUCAUUUCUUUGAGUACUAUUGGGAGGAUCUCAUCCGGCCCAGGGGAUUUGUUUAUUUUAAGAGCUCCUAGUCCCUUUAACACUUCUGCCUCUGUUAUGCUAAAGUUAUUUAAAAUUGGAUAGGAACAGGUCUACAUGUGGGGCAUGUUGUCCAUGUCCUCCUUUGUAAAAACCUGUGAAAAGUAAUCAUUUAAUAUAUUUGCUAUUUUUUUUUCUUCAUCUAUGAUUUUGCCAUUUGUUUCUCUUAGACAUUUAACCUCCUCUUUGAAUGUUCUCUUGCUCUUAUAAUAUUGGAAAAACAUUUUGGAAUUGGUUUUAGCCCCUUUAGCAAUAUUGAUUUCUAUCUCUCUCUUGGCCUUUCUAACUUAUUUUUGACUUGUGUUUGCAGUUCCAAGUACUCUUUCUGUGUACUUUGUUUUUGGUCCCUUUUAAACGCUCUGUAAAGUGCCUUUUUUCGCUGAAUAUUUUUUUUAAUUGAUCUAUUAAACCAUUUUGGCCAUUUUGUUUUAGAUUUAGAUUUGUCUACUUUUGGGAUGUAAUUGUUUUGCGCCUCUAGUACUACAUUUUUAAAAAACAGCCAUCCUUUUUCUGUGGAUGUUUUCUCUAUUUUACUCCAAUCUACUUUUGUUAGUCUCUGUUUCAUACCUUCAUAGUUUGCUUUUCUAAAAUUGUAAACCUUAGCUUUAGUCAUUACUUUUGGGGUUUUAAAAAAUACUUCAGUUUGCCAAUGGCUCUCUGACCUCUGUUUUAAUUAUUCUGUCUUCGUUAUUUAAAAAGACUAAACCAAGGCAUGCCUCCCCUCUAGUCGGUGCCUUGACAAAGUGCGUUAGGAAGCAGUCGUUUGUCAUUUCCACCAUUUCAAUUUCGUCCGUCGUGCCCCCCACCGGGUUCUCCCAUUUUAUACGGGGGAAGUUGAAAUCCUCCAUUAGUAUGGCUUCUCCUUUUCUACACGCAUUUCGAAUGUCAUUGUAUAACAGAUUAUUUUGUUCAGCGUCUGAAUUUGGCGGUCUAUAGCAUGCUCAUGUUAUUAUGCCCUUUGAAUUUUUGUCCAUUAUUCUGACCCAUAUUGAUUCUGCAUUGUUUUCUUUGUCCUGAUUUAACACCUGGGCUUCAAGGAAAGACAGGCAGGACAGAAGAGGAGGAGGGGUAGCGCUAUACAUAAGAAAUAGUCUUGAAGCCCAGGUGUUAAAUCAGGACAAAGAAAACAAUGCAGAAUCAAUAUGGGUCAGAAUAAUGACACCGAUACUCCAGAUGGCUCCCUGAAAAGGAGCCCUGGGCCUGUGGCAGCAAACUCCUAGUACUGCUGCUCAACCUGUGGCUUGGCCCGUCCCAAACAUCACCUCUGUGCCAGUCUUUGAGGCUGCUGGAGCCAAGGGCGCCAGUUUGCCGCUGGUUUGUGCACUGGAGGUGGUCGUUUGGGAAGCAGGCGAACCAGCUCCUUCGUGGAUUCCUGUCUGCAGUGAGAAAUUAGGCACCUGGACCAAGGUGGCAAUAGAAGCCUCAACUGGCGGAAAUUAUAUAUAGUGCGUCCAUCGACCAGGAAACAGCUGUUGCCGGAUGAUACCAGGAAAAAGAAAAUCUGGGUGAACUCGGGUGGAUACGGGAUAGGCGGUAGACUCAUCGAAAAUCGAGUUCCUUGUUUCGGCUUCUGUAGGCCAGGGCACUUACAAUAUUGCAGUGCUCCUCUUGAUCAGCGGUAGAAGCUCUGCCGACAGGGAGUGCUUAACUGCAGGGGAUGAGCUGUCAGACUCCUGAGGAGUCCUCAGACAGGAACUGUUCACCUACCUCCUCAGAAGUGGCAAUGGACAGUAUGUCCUCCUGUGGCCAAUCUGCGCUCGUAGGCCCCAAGGGGACAGGCAGGCAGGCGGCACUGAACGGUCCCACAGUAAUUCCGUGAGAACAUUUCCUUGUGUGUGCAAGGCCUCGAAAUGGCACACGGAGAGUUCAGGAUUUCAGGUGAAACGGUGCAUGAACGUUUGUUUACAAAAAAACAACCGAAAACUGGUCACAAAAUAAAUGGGUACAUAGGUACCUGGAGGAAGCGCACAUAUAUAGUGAAGCGUAUUUAAACAGAUUUCUGUUCAUUUGCAGGAUGAGGUAUCCCUGCAGCAACAAUGUUGUUGCUCUGCAAUCUUCUGAAGCAAUCGUUACCUUGCAGGAGAUAAAAACAGGAGAGUUUACUGUACCAUCAAAGACAUAUGUGGCUGCAUUUCCUUGGUCCCAGGAGAGGCUGCCCCCUUUUGUACACCUUGGCUUCGCCCCUUAUCCAAUUAUCUGGGUUUGGAACCAGGUGUACCUUGUUCCCCUCCGCCAGCCUCCUGGCAGGCUGACACCUACAGAAUGUUAACCCCGUAGUUGCUAGAGCCCGCUGGAUGGGCAGGUUCCUCCUGUUCCCCCUGCUGGUGGGAGGUGAACUUUUCAUAGGGAUAGAACCCAGGCAUGAUGCAAGGAGCAAGCAAUGCAGUAUAUAAUUAUACAGUUUCUGCCUCAAUCUGCUUAUAGAUUUUGACUGGGCGGGUCAAGACCUGAAAGGGACCGGUUUGGUACCGAAGCAUCGGUCGGUAGUGGGCUGUGUAGGACCGGGUAGAAACCAGGACGGUAACGGGUGUAUUUGGUACUGGUUCGGUGACUUUAGCACCGGCUCGCUAUGGUACGGCACUGGGUUGGAACCCGGUCGGUACCAGGACGGUGGUUUAUCUCUGUUUUGUGGGAUUGUUAAUCUGUUUCCUGGGGUGAGAGCAAAAAGUAUCCUCUGGGGCGGGGCACGACUGCAUCACAGGCUUGCUGAGCAGCUUUGGUAUAUCAAUAUUCAGGUUUCAGGUCUUUAGGAGGUAAAUUCCCAUGCGGUAAUGGUUACAUUUCAUACUUGAAAGGGAAAUAAGUUUUCCUUCAGAGUCCAAAUACAGUCCUUUGUUUAAAAGUAACAUGCUUUUAGACUUGAACAUAGAGCUUGUUUAAUUAUAUGUAUCACGGCACUAACAAACAAUUUGAAAAAUAAAGCUGCAUAAGCUUUAUUCUUCAAAGUGCAUCAUCGUAAGUGCUGUGAUGUGAAUAUAUGUAAAAUAACUAGCUCUAGGUCCAAAACCACUUUUACUUUUAAACAAAAAUGACUAUUAGCCCCUAGGGCAGCAGUGUGGAGUAGUGGUUAGGGCUCUGGACUCAACCAGAAAGUCGUGGGUUCAAUUCCAGGUGGGGACACUGCUGCUUUACCCUUGAGCAAGGUACUUUACCUAGAUUGCUCCAGUAAAAACCCAACUGUAUAAAUGGGUAAUUGUAUGUAAAAAAUAUCUUGUAACAAUUGUAAGUCGCCCUGGAUAAGGGAGUCUGCUAAGAAAUAAAUAGUCAUAAUAAUAAUAAUAAUAAUAAUAGAAGGAAAUCUUUUGAUUUUAUGGAAGGCUUUAUUAUUUUACUUGUAUCAUCGAUUAGUACUGUGAUGCCUUGUUAGAAUAUGGUGAAUAAACUUGAGUUCUGGAGGGAGAACGUUUACAAUUGAAAGUUGCAGAGUUUUGCGUCUGUUAAAUAGCAAAAAUAAAUAUUUUCCAUGGGUAAGGCAAUAAACAGUUACAGUCUACUUCAAAGUGGUCAUUCCGUGCUAAUUAAGAUUUACUUUCCUAAAAAAAGACUCGCUGAAUCUCUGCAGAGGAGUUUUGAAUCGGAUGAGAAAAGGGAACCAAAAACCCACUGGAAACAGGAAAUGAGGAUUUCUGUUGCUGUUGUCACCUGUUGAUGAUUCUAGUUCUACAAGUUCUAUUUUAUUUAAAUGAAGUGUUUUAGUUCUGCAUCAUCUAGGAUUUUAUGAUUGAGAAAUGUUUUAUUAAACAUCAUGUAAUCAAAGAAACUACAAAAUGAUAUUGCAAAAGUCUACCGGAAGCCAUAAUAGUAGUAAAACUACAAAGGGGUAACGUAUGUUAACAUAGCCUUAUUCAGCAGGUUUCAUUCGACUUUAUGAAGGAAACAUUGUUAAUUCUAUCCAGUAAUGCAACACUUUUGGCCAUUGCUGUAGUAACAACCAUCUUGGUAUCCCUAUAAUGGAGAACACACUGUGUUUGUGUUUAGUGUUGGUGUGUAAAACUGGACUUUUUAGUUACGGGUCAAACCCGGGGAAUUACAAAUACCGAGUGAUACACGCCGCUGUAUCACUCCAUCAUUAUUAUUUACAGGUGUUUGCCAUAAGGCUCUGGACAUUGUUAAUUAAAUCAAUAAACACCCUUGCACCUGGAAA